This 253-nucleotide unclassified non-coding RNA is filed under the name uncultured Acidobacteriota bacterium. RNAcentral's name for it is "uncultured Acidobacteria bacterium contains 16S-23S intergenic spacer region". It matches the Rfam family "Bacterial small subunit ribosomal RNA", at positions 524 to 776 of the family's 1533-position model. The record is from RNAcentral. Lineage: Bacteria; Pseudomonadati; Acidobacteriota.
UACGGAGGGGGCAAGCGUUAUUCGGAAUCAUUGGGCGUAAAGGGCGCGUAGGCGGCUUAGUAAGUUGAAGGUGAAAUCCCUCGGCUCAACCGGGGAACUGCCUUCAAAACUGCUUGGCUAGAGUCCGGGAGAGGGUAGCGGAAUUCCCAGUGUAGCGGUGAAAUGCGUAGAUACUGGGAGGAACACCGGUGGCGAAGGCGGCUACCUGGACCGGUACUGACGCUGAGGCGCGAAAGCGUGGGGAGCAAACAGG